UGCCACUAUGAUGACACUUAUUUGCUACUCUUGAUCAGAAUGAUGAGAAUGAGAUCCACCUAUAAUUGAAACUGAGGUG
RNAcentral lists this small nucleolar RNA (79 nucleotides) under Salvator merianae (Argentine black and white tegu). RNAcentral's name for it is "Small nucleolar RNA SNORD24 (ENSSMRG00000010794.1)". Lineage: Eukaryota; Metazoa; Chordata; Lepidosauria; Squamata; Teiidae. The record is from RNAcentral.